UACGUAGGGUGCAAGCGUUGUCCGGAAUUAUUGGGCGUAAAGCGCUCGUAGGCGGUCUGUCGCGUCGGCUGUGAAAACCCGGAGCUCAACUCCGGGCCUGCAGUCGAUACGGGCAGACUGGAGUUCGGCAGGGGAGACUGGAAUUCCUGGUGUAGCGGUGAAAUGCGCAGAUAUCAGGAGGAACACCGGUGGCGAAGGCGGGUCUCUGGGCCGAUACUGACGCUGAGGAGCGAAGGCGUGGGGAGCGAACAGG
This 253-nucleotide ribosomal RNA is filed under the name uncultured bacterium. RNAcentral describes it as "partial 16S ribosomal RNA". It matches the Rfam family "Bacterial small subunit ribosomal RNA", at positions 524 to 776 of the family's 1533-position model. The record is from RNAcentral.